Molecule: ribosomal RNA, 497 nt
Filed under: uncultured bacterium
Lineage: Bacteria
Description: partial 16S ribosomal RNA
Rfam family: Bacterial small subunit ribosomal RNA
Source: RNAcentral
GAUGAACGCUGGCGGCGUGCCUAAUACAUGCAAGUCGAGCGAACAGAUGAGGCGCUUGCUCCUCUGACGUUAGCGGCGGACGGGUGAGUAACACGUGGCUAACCUACCUAUAAGACUGAGAUAAGUUCAGGAAACCUGAGCUAAUACCGGAUAAGAUAUUGAACCGCAUGGUUCAUUAGUGAAAAACGGAUUUGCUGUCCCUUAUACGUAGAACCGGGCCGCAUUAGCUAGUUGGUAAGGUAACGGCUUACCAAGGCAACGAUGCGUAGCCGACCUGAGAGGGUGAUCGGCCACACUGGAACUGAGACACGGUCCAGACUCCUACGGGAGGCAGCAGUAGGGAAUCUUCCGCAAUGGGCGAAAGCCUGACGGAGCAACGCCGCGUGAGUGAUGAAGGUCUUCGGAUCGUAAAACUCUGUUAGUAGGGAAGAACAAAUGUGUAAGUAACUAUGCACGUCUUGACGGUACCUAAUCAGAAAGCCACGGCUAACUACGUG